Molecule: small nucleolar RNA, 76 nt
Filed under: Otolemur garnettii (small-eared galago)
Lineage: Eukaryota; Metazoa; Chordata; Mammalia; Primates; Galagidae
Description: Small nucleolar RNA SNORA11 (ENSOGAG00000022960.1)
Source: RNAcentral
GCAGUGUGCUCAGGGCAAGGGGCCUGGAGAAUGGACACUACGUUUAUAACAUACUGUGGCCUUCCUAUGAACAAAU